GUUCUUCCAUUGCGGGGAAGGAUGAGAAGCUUCGACUAAGGUUCGAUUCGAGCACAGCGAGAAAGCGUUGCCGCAGGCAACGACCCGAAGGGCGAGGCGCAGCCGCCAUCCGACGCUUUCACUGA
Molecule: small RNA, 125 nt
Filed under: Cronobacter sakazakii
Lineage: Bacteria; Pseudomonadati; Pseudomonadota; Gammaproteobacteria; Enterobacterales; Enterobacteriaceae
Also listed under: 1 other name
Description: RtT sRNA
Rfam family: RtT RNA
About the family: This family represents a bacterial cis-regulatory element known as RtT RNA. The exact function of RtT is unknown although it is thought that it may be involved in changing the cellular response in relation to amino acid starvation.
Source: RNAcentral